Long non-coding RNA from Xenia sp. Carnegie-2017, 308 nucleotides. RefSeq lists it as uncharacterized. The record is from RefSeq and is a predicted model, not a curated record. NCBI's taxonomy places the organism in Eukaryota, Metazoa, Cnidaria, Anthozoa, Malacalcyonacea, Xeniidae. The transcript has 2 exons.
CCUGAGAGCACUUUUCGAUUCCUGGAAUCCUGUGUCUGUAGACGUGACGGAGUCCGUUGUGGUACUUCUGGAUUUACGAGAGCAGUUUAGGCACAGAAUGAAGAAUAAAACAGUAAAUAUGUUAGAAUUAGUUAGUCAUCAGCUACGAAAACAUGAAUGUUCAAAAGAUGGCUUCAUUAAGAGUAGGCUUUCUGUAAAUCAUUAAUAUUAUGCAACAGUGUUGUUUUUUAUCAAAUACUGAAACAAAGACUUUGUUAUACAUUAAGCACCAAUAAAAAAUUGCAUUUCUAGCUCUAUGUCUUUGAAAA